This is a long non-coding RNA of Gambusia affinis (western mosquitofish), 935 nucleotides long. RefSeq lists it as uncharacterized. NCBI's taxonomy places the organism in Eukaryota, Metazoa, Chordata, Actinopteri, Cyprinodontiformes, Poeciliidae. The record is from RefSeq and is a predicted model, not a curated record. The transcript has 5 exons.
GAAAAGAAGAAGAAGUGCCGGAAGUGAUCCGCGGCAUCUUUGUUGGCAAGGGCAAUGCAUAACCGGACCCAAGACUUCAAUACCAACAAAAAGAAAAUGUGGACACACAAUCUUGACCAAUAUGCAAGAGAAAGAUACUUGAACAAAAUUACUACUCUCGGAAUCGACCGGAAUGAGACGGAGAAGGAAAAUAUGUCAGACGAAGACUGAGUCCACAUGGAGGAGCUUCGCGGCCUGCAAUCUAUGUUUAACCAGUGUUUAAACAGAUGUUUAAGUGAUUUACUGGAGUCCAACAGCGGACCACUGCGACCCCAUUAUGACCCUUGAUGUGGCCACUCAGCAGUGCGGGGCUUGCAGACUGAAAGGGGAGGCCUUGGAGGGAUUUCUGGGCUGCACUGCUUUGCAAAGUUUGAGAGGACCCUGAUGUUUCCAACCCUCUCCAUCUGCAGUCUGACCUCUGCUAUUCUUCACUAUGAUUCCUGUGUGUUCAAAGGCGGCAGGAUGUCAGUAAUUGGAAGGGAUGUGAUGGAGUCGGAGGCCCCCCCCACUCCUCUUCGUUGGAAGGCCCCUAGCACUGAAGAGGUGAUCUCCAUUCAACUCAUUGCGACACUUAUGGCAUCAACUGGCUGGGCCUCUGUGGAAAUAGGCCAGUCUCUUUGAAGGGGGUUUCAACAUGGGGGCUGUUUCCAGUCAUCAUUUCCCAGCCCCGGCAGUCCUCUACACUGAGCCUACUUCUUACAUACUUGUUUUUCAGUCUGGGUUUGGGAGCCUGAUGUCUUGAUGAAAUUUUAAUAUGCAAUGUCACUGAAGUAACCCAAUGCUAUCUGCCAUUACAGUGGACUGUAAAAUGAUUCACUCAAUAAUUUUGUUAUUUUCUUUAAGUUCCAAACAGAAACUUCAAUGUACUUCUUUAGGAUUUUAUGGCAUGAACUUGU